This 1113-nucleotide ribosomal RNA is filed under the name Triticum aestivum (bread wheat). RNAcentral's name for it is "partial small subunit ribosomal RNA". The record is from RNAcentral. Lineage: Eukaryota; Viridiplantae; Streptophyta; Magnoliopsida; Poales; Poaceae.
CGGCACCAAGUCUGCAAUGUCCUUUCGACUCGGCAGUGUGGACCAGCAACACCUCCCAAGCACCCCCAUCGACUGCUCAGCACGCCGCCGACGACGAAGAAGGCCCCCGCGGCGCUACCUUCGACUGCCCGACCUCAAGGACGACCUAAGUCAUCUGGCAGAAACGUCUGAUAUAGUAUCGAUUCGGCCGGUAACGGUUUCACAUAGGUGUGUCACACGUGUCUACCACGUUUACCGUGUAUGACUCUUUCGUUUCCUCACAGACCCAGGCAACACGUACUUCUUCUUACUCAAGUCUGGACUCAAAGUGUUCCAACACUUGGUGUACAACUACUAGCUGCUCAAACUCCGACGAAGUCCGUCCUCGUGAUAUUUUUCCUACCAUGUUGGUCGGUCAACCAAGAGUUUUGAAACAAGUCUUGUCUCGUCCAUCUCGCACGUACCGAGGGCGCCGUCAGCAACCACUUCGUUCACCAUUCUAUUGCUGCUGCCCACUUCAAAGUCUUCUUUUUUUUUCUGCUGCCCACCGUGACUCGUCGCAUCCCCGCUACAGUGACUCCUGCCGGUACUUCGGCCUCCGCACCUGGUGCUGGCCGCUCCUCCCACUUCUCGUCACCCUAGUUAUGCUCGCACUCCACAACCUCAAACUCCUCCUUCGUACCUUCUGGAGGCGUUUUCCGCCCCUUAGAUCGUGCCAGUUCGACCGCCCACUCCUCUCGAAGCCGCUCGUGCUAGGUCGGCCGCGUCAGUAAUAGUUGCUACAUGGUCGGAAGAACUAUCGCAACCGCCGCGACUUUUCGACCUCCUUAGUCUAUGUCUCCUCUACUCGUCUCCAGACCGAUUCGCUCCCGCUUAACUUGGUAUCUACCUGAAACUACAACCCCUCUAUCGUUGCAACGGUGACUGGUAAAACCUACCGUGCAUGCAACACAUGACUAAACAAAAAGGCUAAUCAACAAAUGACUAAGCACUGUGGGAACACGCACUUUCUUUAAACAACCCUCGUCCGACAAGUUUGAUUUCCUUAGGUUUUAGGGAUCGGAAAACAUUUGACAACAUGUCGGUCUUUGAAUUACCGGGUACCAACUUUACCGCACCUUACAAUUAAACACG